This is a non-coding RNA of Felis catus (domestic cat), 85 nucleotides long. The record is from Rfam. Lineage: Eukaryota; Metazoa; Chordata; Mammalia; Carnivora; Felidae.
ACCUGGGUGGCUCAGUCAGUUGAGCGUCUGACUUCGGGUCAGGUCAUGAUCUCGUGGUCUGUGGGUUCGAGCCCCGCGUCGGGCU